RNAcentral lists this transfer RNA (72 nucleotides) under Actinomycetes bacterium. RNAcentral's name for it is "tRNA-Arg". It matches the Rfam family "tRNA". From Rfam's summary of the family: Transfer RNA (tRNA) molecules are approximately 80 nucleotides in length. The record is from RNAcentral. Lineage: Bacteria; Bacillati; Actinomycetota; Actinomycetes.
GCCCCCGUAGCUCAGUGGAGAGAGCAGCGGUUUCCUAAACCGCGUGCGCACGUUCGAUUCGUGCCGGGGGCA